AGGGAAUCUUCCACAAUGGACGAAAGUCUGAUGGAGCAACGCCGCGUGAGUGAUGAAGGGUUUCGGCUCGUAAAACUCUGUUGUUGGAGAAGAACAGGUGAUAGAGUAACUGUUAUCAUCUUGACGGUAUCCAACCAGAAAGCCACGGCUAACUACGUGCCAGCAGCCGCGGUAAUACGUAGGUGGCAAGCGUUGUCCGGAUUUAUUGGGCGUAAAGCGAGCGCAGGCGGUUUUUUAGGUCUGAUGUGAAAGCCUUCGGCUUAACCGGAGAAGGGCAUCGGAAACCGGGAGACUUGAGUGCAGAAGAGGACAGUGGAACUCCAUGUGUAGCGGUGAAAUGCGUAGAUAUAUGGAAGAACACCAGUGGCGAAGGCGGCUGUCUGGUCUGUAACUGACGCUGAGGCUCGAAAGCAUGGGUAGCGAACAGGAUUAGAUACCCUGGUAGUCCAUGCCGUAAAACGAUGAGUGCUAAGUGUUGGAGGGUUUCCGCCCUUCAGUGCUGCAGCUAACGCAUUAAGCACUCCGCCUGGGGGAGUACGACCGCAAGGUUGAAAC
Molecule: ribosomal RNA, 555 nt
Filed under: uncultured bacterium
Lineage: Bacteria
Description: partial 16S ribosomal RNA
Rfam family: Bacterial small subunit ribosomal RNA
Source: RNAcentral